AUCAAAAUCUACUUAAAUUCUAUAGUUAACAGUUACAUAAGAAUAUAUGCAGAGGGAAAAUGUCAAUAGUUCUUGUGAAUGAAGGAAUUAUGGAUGUUUUUAUUUUAAUUCUACUUUGCUGUUUUUUUUUUCUUUUCAGUGAGCAAUCUGUUAUUUUUAAAAUCACGGUGGGGGGAAACCCAUAAAGUUUAAAGAGUUAAAGUUAACUGAAUCGUAAGCACUUAUAUAAUAACUUUUUAAAAGUCAUUUUUAUUACCAGAGCUCAGAACAUUGUUUGGAGUCCUUUGAUCUACCGGUUCUCUUAAGUACGUGAUUUCGUGAAGAUAGCAAUGGUUAUGGCUUUUUUGUUCUGUUAUUUUUAUUGUGUAACGUAGUGUAGUGGUUAAGAGCUUGGAUUUUGCAGUAACUUGGAUUCUAAUCCUUUAAAAUGGGGCUGAUAUACCUGCCUCAUAUUCAAUGAAAUAUUGUGUGUACAGCACUUAGUAAUUAAUGAAACUGGUAAUUAUUAGCUUAGUUACUGUAAUGAUAAUUUGGGACCAUAAACACAUAUCACCCUACAUUUUCUUUGCAACUACAAUUUGUGAAGGAAAAUCUCCCACUAACUAUUGGUUAUGUUAAUAUUCUUCAUAGAGUUGGGUUCAAGAAGAGAAAUGUUUUAUAAUGAAGCAUAUAACUAUUUUAUAAACAACAUUGUAGUUAUAAAGAAGCAUGCCUAUAGUGUUAUUAAAAAUUUUUUGUACGACUUUCUGGAGCUACAAGUAAUGAACUUGCUUUGAGAGGGUCCAGACAUACUCAUCCUGAACCACAUUCCUACAACAUAUGCCCAACAACCUGCACCAGAGUACUUAUAUCUUAACCAAAAAGUUUCACUUCAAUGGUGGUGCUUCACAAAAUCUUCAAAGUGCUUUCAUGUGUAUUGCCUCAUUUGAGCUUCAAAUAACCUUAUAAAUCGGGCAGGUAGAUGUUAGUUUACAGAGGAGGAGACAGCUUUGGAAUAGUGGUGACGUAUCUGAAGAAUAGAAAACCGGAAUAGUGCUCGAUGCCUGAAGUGGUGCCUGGCGCCAGCAGAUGUUCACUUCUGUCAAACAAGGGGAAGUAGUGGUGGAGCCUUUAUUCAGGCACGGGUCUCCUCAUUCCUAACUCCAAGAUGCAGAGGGAAAACGAACUGCUCAAUUAAGAGUUCUUCCAUGGACACUUUCUUAAGCCUUCACAUAAAAUAACAAGAAUAAUAGAUAUUUAUUGAGUAGAUAUUUAUUGAGUUCUUUCUAUUUUCCAGCACUCAUCUAUUAAGUGCUUUUAUGUAUUAACUCAUUUAAUCCACACAACAACCUUAUGUGAGAAAUACCAUUUUUCCUUAUUUGAUUGGUGAAGAAGCACACAGAGAGGGUAAGCAUAAUCAAAUACACCAGCAUAACCAAAAUCACACAUUUAGCGAGUGGCAGGGCCUGGAUGGGAGUCUGUUCAACUCUCUGCUGUAUUGCCUCUUAAAGUAGGUUUUCUUAAAACAUAAAUCUUUCAUAACUUUAUAUAUUUAUAGUAACUUAAUCCAAAGAACCCCAAAAGUACUAGCAAUGAUUGUUUCUGCAAUUUAAAUAAAUCCAUUUAAUUAUACAACUUUGCAUUAUAUACUGUUAUUCAGACCUUGGAACAGUCUAUAAUUGUUUGUCAAAAGAUUUUAUGUACUACUUUUUCUUAAUUUCAGAUAUUAUCCAGAGUUUUUCUUGGCAGAUGGAUGUAUUAAAAAAAUAGCUUUCCAGUGUUAGUUCUCAACAGUGCUGUUUCAAAAGUUGUUUUAAAAGUUCUAACGGUUGGUCUUCAAAACGUAAUUAAGACCUUAUCAUAAAGAGCCUUUUGCACAGGACUAUCUCAAACCCUAAGAAGCUAUUCAUAUUUAAGAAAAUUUUGUUGUAUUAAAUAUUAGUCCAAGUGAGCUCUGGAAAUACAGUCUUCUGCUUUCUUGUUUCAUAAAUAACACUGGUAUGCAGACCCCUCCCCAUGACUCAAAUAUUAAUAUAUGCAAUUCUGUUACAGUAAAGUUUUCACCAUGGUCAACCUAUUCCAGCAUUAGGUACUUUUUGUUGUUGUUGUUUUGUUUUUUUUUUUUUUUUUUGAGAUGGAGUCUCACUCUGUCACCCAGGCUGGAGUGCAAGGGUACAAUCUCAGCUCACUGCAGGCUCCACCUACCGGGUUCAAGUGAUCCUCCUGCCUCAGCCUCCCAAGUAGCUGGCGCUCACCACUACUGGUGCCCACCACAAUGCCCGGCUAAUUUUUGUACUUUUAGUAGAAACAGGGUUUCUGUUGGCCAGGUUGGUCUCGAACUCCUGACCUCAUGUGAUGCGCCUGCCUUGGCCUCCCAAAGUGCUGGGAUUACAGGCGUGAGCCACCGUACCCAGCCUAGCAUUAGGUACUUUGUUUUGUUUUGUUUUGUUUUUGUUUUUUUUGAGAUGGAGUUUUGCUCUUGUUGCCCAGGCUGGAGUGCCAUGGCAACACAGCCUCCACUUCCUGUGUUCAAGCAAUUCUCCUGCCUCAGCCUCCUGAGUAGCUGGGAUUACAGGCGUCUGCCACCACGCUUAGCUGAUUUUUUGUAUUUUUAGUGGAGAUGGGGUUUCGCCAUGCUUGCCAGGCUGGUCUCGAACUCCUGACCUCAGGUGAUCUGCCUGCCUUGGCCUUCCAAAGUGCUGGGAUUACAGGCGUGAGCCGCUGCGCCCAGCGCACUAAAUACUAUUAAAAGGAAUUAAGCAAAAUGCUACGUACCAAUGAUUAUGAUUCAUGAUCACCUAAACACAGAAUGCAGACUUAACUUUUCAUUCUUAGUGUGCUAAUUAAGUAGUAGUAUGGUGCAGUAAGGAAUUUUGUUAAUUUUGUUAUAAACUCCCUCUCCUGAAAUCCGUAAGGAAAUGUGAUAAUAAGAAAGUGAUAAUAGUGUCAUAUUUUAAAAGUAGAAUCCACUGUUAAGCACCAAGAUUACCUUUUCUUCCCCCUGUGGCACAGUUUAUUUAAAUGAAGUAUUAGCAAUAAUCAUGUCACUAUUUUGUCCUGAAUAAUUAAGAGUUUGCUUUUUUCCCAUGUCUUUGCAAUAGGAUAAUAUAAAGAAUAGUAUUAAAAGUCAGAGGCUUUACUAAUCUACCUAUAUGUAUUCCAUGGCUAACAAACCCUGGCCCCUUUACAUAUGAGCUCUGGAGGUUCGCCUGGCUGCCUCAGGCUUGCAGAAGGCUGCCCCAAUCACAGAGCCUGGGUAAGGUGGAACAGGAGGCAGCCCCACUCGGCUUUUCUGAUUGCAUCCCACCUGUUUCUGAGUGUGUUGGUUUGGUUUAAUUCUUUUCAAGGGUUGGAGUUGGAAAGUGAAAACCCUAGACACUUGCUGUGGAAUGUUUGCCUGGUUGUAUUGGUGUGUCCCUCUUCUUCACUGGCAUGUCGCUUUCAAGUGUACCAAAGGACAUUUUGUUCUGUUGAAAGCCACAGGACCAAAAGGAAAAUAUUGCAACUAUUUGCAAACAUACUUCCCUACCUGUACAAGCAGCCAUAUACUAAAAAGCACUAAACAAGCACAAAUGAACACUAAAUAGCCUUAUACCAAAAAGCAUUCUUGUAACUGUCAGGGCAUGGUAUGAAUUCCUUCCUCUUUAAGCAGCAACUUACCACAGGCUUGGUGGCUUUAAGUAAUAUAGCAUUAAGCAAAUGGUCAGUUAUUUUUUAAUGUUGAAAACUUCCAAGUGUGAAUAAUACGGACAUAGUUUACUACCUUUUGCUUUUAAUAUACCUGGUUAUCUAUUUCCAUUUGAAAUAAAAUGAAAGGAGACCUCAAACUGAUGCUGAGAAGUAGACAAAAUCAGCUCUCAGACUUAACUCUCCCCAAUUAAAAUAGUUUUUUUUUCCCUUCCCAUUUUUUUGUUUUUAAGAGAUAGGGUCUUGCUGUGUUGCCCAGGCUAGAGUGCAGCAGUGACAUGAUCAUAGCUCACUGCAGCCUGGAACUCCUGGGCUCAGGAUCCUUCUGCUUCGGCCUCCUGAGUAGCUAAGACCACAGGUGUGUGCCACCACACCUGGCUAAUUUUUUUAAAAUUUUUUGUAGAGAUGGGGACUUGCUAUGUUGCCCAGACUGGUCUCGAACUCCUGGCCUCAAGCCACCAACCUCUCAAAUUGCUAGAAUUACAAGCAUGAGCCACCACACCUGGCCUGUUAUUCCUUCUUUAUCUAAUGUGUGCUAAGCUUGUGAAAAAUAUAUGUUGAGGUAAAUAGGGCAAAACAUUAGUUGAUAAAUUAUGCUAAUUAAUGGGAAAAAUAGACAUGUUCCUCUCUGAACAUUUAGAAGGACUCUGCCCUACAACUAUCUUCUGUUUUUAGAAUUUGUAGUCACUGUUCUUAGUGCCACUGGAAAUAUAUUCAUUCUUUGAGCAUGUACAGGGUGGGCUCCCUGUUGUAUUUAUUACACUUUUCAAAAUGCCAGCAAGUUUUUGUUUGUAUAGAGUUGGAAUGUAUUGUUCGUGCAUGCCUGUGAUAUUCAUCAUCAAAAUAUACCUGUAAAAAAUAAACUACUGCUUCCUCUCCACAGCUUAGGCCUCCCUCUUACUAAAAACAAUAGUAGUUUCUGUAGAAGUUUCAGUGAGAAAUUAUGGUUAUAUAAAUAACAGAUAUGGCAGAACAAUUUUGUUGUAGUAUUUUUUUCCGUAGCAUUUCUUAAUAAUAGCUCAGUUUUUAAAGGAGGGGAACAAUACCCCAUGAGUUCAAAUUAAUUUUCUCUACUUUGAGGUAUACCUUCCUAAUUAUAUUUUACAUAGGCUGUUUUUUUUAAGUUUAAAUUCUCACUGUUAAGUUGCAUUGAGAGACAAUUAGAAAUGUUGUAAUUGUCAUAUCUUUACAUGUGGAUUAUGAACAAAUGAAAGUUUGCUGUGUGAUUGCAGUUUUAAAUUAUAACAUUUCAUAAAUAUGUCAAUUUUAGAAACUCAAACUCUUUCCCAUCUUUUGUAUGGAUAAAGUUUAUGGUUUCAUUUCUGAGAAUAGAGUUGGUCUGCUGUGCUAACUUCAUGUUUCUUAUUCCAAAGGCUUGAUUAUAUUUUUUUCUCCAGUGAUUAAAAAUGCAGCGAAAAUCCAAUCUACAAGUUCAUAUAUUGGUAUUUCUAGACAUAGUCUAGUUCUAAAAGAAUGUACUUGGUGUGCAUUUUUAAGUGUUUCAUGUAGACAGAUUAAUAUAUUUUUGUACAACAUUGUAUUUCUACAUUUAUUUCAAGACUGUACUUUUCAGUGACUUUUUCAAGUGCAUGUGUUAACAGAAGAUUGUUUGGAACGAGAGUGCAGUGGCUUCUUUACUAGCAAAGAGAAGUGUAAUACAAGUGAUCAUAGAAGGUGAGAAUGUGUUUAUACUGUAUAUGGAAACCUAAUGCCUCUUUUCUAAAGCUUUGUACAUUUUUUUCGUGAAAUAGAUUAAAUAUUUUCUCUCU
Molecule: long non-coding RNA, 5435 nt
Filed under: Homo sapiens (human)
Lineage: Eukaryota; Metazoa; Chordata; Mammalia; Primates; Hominidae
Description: non-protein coding lnc-ADRB1-4:1
Source: RNAcentral